UGUUGACACUAAUUACUUUCG
Molecule: small nuclear RNA, 21 nt
Filed under: Arabidopsis thaliana (thale cress)
Lineage: Eukaryota; Viridiplantae; Streptophyta; Magnoliopsida; Brassicales; Brassicaceae
Description: snRNA_15115
Source: RNAcentral